RNAcentral lists this ribosomal RNA (369 nucleotides) under Graeffea crouanii. RNAcentral's name for it is "partial small subunit ribosomal RNA". Lineage: Eukaryota; Metazoa; Arthropoda; Insecta; Phasmatodea; Phasmatidae. The record is from RNAcentral.
UUAUACAAUAAAUGCUAUUUAAUAUUAUUGGUUUAAUUGAAGUUAAUUGUUUAUUGAGUUUAUUAUAUUUAUUUUUAGGUGAAAUUUAAAUUUUUAUUAAUCUUUAUUAGGGUCUUUGAAAUGUAAAGUUUAAACUAGGAUUAGAUACCCUAUUAUUUUAUAUGUUAAUUUUUACCUGGGUAAUAUUAGUUAUGUUCUUUAAACCUAAAGAAUUUGGCGGUGUUUUAAGUCUAUUCAGAGGAAUUUGUGCCAUAAUCGAUAGUCCUCGUUUUAAUCGUUCUUAUUUUGGUAUUCAGUAUGUAUACCGCCGUUAUAAGCUUAUUUUAUUAGGAUUAUAAUUUGCUAAUUUUUUUAUUAUAAAUUAUUUCA